This 1482-nucleotide ribosomal RNA is filed under the name metagenome. RNAcentral describes it as "bacterial SSU rRNA". It matches the Rfam family "Bacterial small subunit ribosomal RNA". The record is from RNAcentral.
AGAGUUUGAUCAUGGCUCAGGAUGAACGCUGGCGGCGUGCUUAACACAUGCAAGUCGAACGGAGGACCCUUGACGGAGUUUUCGGACAACGGAUAGGAAUCCUUAGUGGCGGACGGGUGAGUAACGCGUGAGGAACCUGCCUUGGAGAGGGGAAUAACACAGUGAAAAUUGUACUAAUACCGCAUGAUGCAGUUGGGUCGCAUGGCUCUGACUGCCAAAGAUUUAUCGCUCUGAGAUGGCCUCGCGUCUGAUUAGGUAGUUGGUGGGGUAACGGCCCACCAAGCCGACGAUCAGUAGCCGGACUGAGAGGUUGACCGGCCACAUUGGGACUGAGACACGGCCCAGACUCCUACGGGAGGUAGCAGUGGGGAAUAUUGCACAAUGGGGGAAACCCUGAUGCAGCGACGCCGCGUGGAGGAAGAAGGUCUUCGGAUUGUAAACUCCUGUUGUUGAGGAAGAUAAUGACGGUACUCAACAAGGAAGUGACGGCUAACUACGUGCCAGCAGCCGCGGUAAAACGUAGGUCACAAGCGUUGUCCGGAAUUACUGGGUGUAAAGGGAGCGCAGGCGGGCGAUCAAGUUGAAAGUGAAAUCCAUGGGCUCAACCCAUGAACUGCUUUCAAAACUGGUCGUCUUGAGUAGUGCAGAGGUAGGCGGAAUUCCCGGUGUAGCGGUGGAAUGCGUAGAUAUCGGGAGGAACACCAGUGGCGAAGGCGGCCUACUGGGCACCAACUGACGCUGAGGCUCGAAAGUGUGGGUAGCAAACAGGAUUAGAUACCCUGGUAGUCCACACCGUAAACGAUGAUUACUAGGUGUUGGGAGAUUGACCCUCUCAGUGCCGCAGUUAACACAAUAAGUAAUCCACCUGGGGAGUACGACCGCAAGGUUGAAACUCAAAGGAAUUGACGGGGGCCCGCACAAGCAGUGGAGUAUGUGGUUUAAUUCGACGCAACGCGGAGAACCUUACCAAGUCUUGACAUCCCUUGACGAUGCUGGAAACAGUAUUUCUCUUCGGAGCAAGGAGACAGGUGGUGCAUGGUUGUCGUCAGCUCGUGUCGUGAGAUGUUGGGUUAAGUCCCGCAACGAGCGCAACCCUUAUGGUCAGUUACUACGCAAGAGGACUCUGGCCAGACUGCCGUUGACAAAACGGAGGAAGGUGGGGAUGACGUCAAAUCAUCAUGCCCUUUAUGACUUGGGCUACACACGUACUACAAUGGCGUUAAACAAAGAGAAGCAAGACCGCGAGGUGGAGCAAAACUCAGAAACAACGUCCCAGUUCGGACUGCAGGCUGCAACUCGCCUGCACGAAGUCGGAAUUGCUAGUAAUCGUGGAUCAGCAUGCCACGGUGAAUAUGUUCCCGGGCCUUGUACACACCGCCCGUCACACCAUGAGAGCCGGGGGGACCCGAAGUCGGUAGUCUAACCGCAAGGAGGACGCCGCCGAAGGUAAAACUGGUGAUUGGGGUGAAGUCGUAACAAGGU